GAUUGACUUUAUCAUGCUCAAUGAAUUGUGUAGGUGUUGUUUUCAGCAGUGGUAGCAUGUCAUCAGUUUGUGGAGAGCAAUAUUUAAUCUUAGCAACAGAAUGUACUGUUUGGAAGUUCCCAUGGAUCAUUUUGGACAAUUCCUCAGAGAUAACUUAUUCCAGAAACCUACAUAAGAAUAAGAGUCAUCUUCAAUGAAGUCUCAAUAAAAUUCUGGAAACAUGAAAAGGACACUAUUAGACAAACUAAAAGAAAACUGCAAAAGAACAAUGAAAGCCAAAUCCACAGUACAGAGCACACUCCCACUUUAGGGCCUACCGCGAACUGUUGAAUGUUGUUUGCAGGAUUAGACGUGCGAAUAACAACAACAUAAGGAACACAUCACUGUGUUCCAUUGACUACAAACAGAAAACACGCACCAUUAAUGGGUCUGGGAAGAGAAAAGAGCCUGACGAGGGACAUGAUGUGUAUUUCUCGAAACACGAACGUCCAGAAUGUCAAGCCAACAGAAAAAUAAUCAAUAAAAAAAAUCAUUGUUGCCAACAUCUCCAACAAGUAAUCCCUUCUGCAGAUAUUACAAACAAUACCAUUAUAACAAUAAAUAAACUUUACUUAUGGCAAAAUGCAAGUA
Non-coding RNA from Myodes glareolus (Bank vole), 630 nucleotides. NCBI's taxonomy places the organism in Eukaryota, Metazoa, Chordata, Mammalia, Rodentia, Cricetidae. The record is from RefSeq and is a predicted model, not a curated record.